Molecule: ribosomal RNA, 422 nt
Filed under: uncultured bacterium
Lineage: Bacteria
Description: bacterial SSU rRNA
Rfam family: Bacterial small subunit ribosomal RNA
Source: RNAcentral
UGAGGAAUAUUGGUCAAUGGGGGCAACCCUGAACCAGCCAAGUCGCGUGAAGGAUGAAGGUCUUAUGGAUUGUAAACUUCUUUUACACGGAAAUAAAUUGGGGGACGUGUCCCCUUUUGCAUGUACUGUAUGAAUAAGGAUCGGCUAACUCCGUGCCAGCAGCCGCGGUAAUACGGAGGAUCCGAGCGUUAUCCGGAUUUAUUUGGUUUAAAGGGUGCGCAGGCGGGAUGUUAAGUCGGCGGUGAAAUUUUGCAGCUCAACUGUAAAAGUGCCUUCGAUACUGGCCUCCUUGAGUGUGGAUGAAGUAGGCGGAAUUUGUGGUGUAGCGGUGAAAUGCUUAGAUAUCACGAGGAACUCCGAUUGCGCAGGCAGCUUACUAAGCCACAACUGACGCUCAUGCACGAAGGCGUGGGGAUCAAACA